RNAcentral lists this ribosomal RNA (504 nucleotides) under uncultured bacterium. RNAcentral describes it as "bacterial SSU rRNA". It matches the Rfam family "Bacterial small subunit ribosomal RNA", at positions 30 to 527 of the family's 1533-position model. The record is from RNAcentral.
AUUGAACGCUGGCGGCAUGCCUUACACAUGCAAGUCGAACGGUAACAGGUCUUCGGAUGCUGACGAGUGGCGAACGGGUGAGUAAUACAUCGGAACGUGCCCGAUCGUGGGGGAUAACGGAGCGAAAGCUUUGCUAAUACCGCAUACGAUCUACGGAUGAAAGCGGGGGAUCUUCGGACCUCGCGCGGACGGAGCGGCCGAUGGCAGAUUAGGUAGUUGGUGGGAUAAAAGCUUACCAAGCCGACGAUCUGUAGCUGGUCUGAGAGGAUGAUCAGCCACACUGGGACUGAGACACGGCCCAGACUCCUACGGGAGGCAGCAGUGGGGAAUUUUGGACAAUGGGGGCAACCCUGAUCCAGCCAUGCCGCGUGCAGGAUGAAGGCCUUCGGGUUGUAAACUGCUUUUGUACGGUAACGAAAGAACUCUGGUUAAUACCUGGGGUCCAUGACGGUACCGUAAGAAUAAGCACCGGCUAACUACGUGCCAGCAGCCGCGGUAAUCACG